RNAcentral lists this ribosomal RNA (253 nucleotides) under uncultured bacterium. RNAcentral describes it as "partial 16S ribosomal RNA". It matches the Rfam family "Bacterial small subunit ribosomal RNA", at positions 524 to 776 of the family's 1533-position model. The record is from RNAcentral.
UACAGGGGGUGCAAACGUUGCUCGGAAUCAUUGGGCGUAAAGGGCUCGUAGGCGGCCAACUAAGUCAGACGUGAAAUCCCUCGGCUUAACCGGGGAACUGCGUCUGAUACUGGAUGGCUUGAGAUUGGGAGAGGGAUGCGGAAUUCCAGGUGUAGCGGUGAAAUGCGUAGAUAUCUGGAGGAACACCGGUGGCGAAGGCGGCAUCCUGGACCAACACUGACGCUGAGGAGCGAAAGCCAGGGGAGCAAACGGG